UUUUUUUUUUUUUUUUGAGGCACAUUAGAAAUAAUUCAUAAUGCACAAUCACUCAUACUUAGCAUUCUGAACUUUAUUUAAUUAAGUGCAAAAAGUAGAUGAUGAUUAGUAUGAUUACAUUUUAUCAUAAAGUAGCCUUGAAAAUGCUAAUACUGCAUUUUGACUGCCAUAGCCCCAGAAUCAUAGUCAAGAAAAAAAUGUACUAGCUUUGGUUUGCAAAUGCUUUAAAAGCUACACUAAUUAAAUUCUGCUAGUGGUGUUAUUCUGCAUGUUAGCACAAAGUCAUUGUUUGGAGAAGAUACCUUAUAAGUUAUAUUUGUGUGUUGUCCUUAACUAAAUGUGUUUAAGUUACCCAAAGAUUACUUAAGAGAAACUUUCCAUUUAGCAAAUUAAUUUAUCAUGUAAUAAAUGUCUGAGGCGAUGUCUGAAUGUUGUCCCUAAAUCAGACCUUCUUGAUUUCAGUACUUGUUUGUAGAUUUAUUCGCAUUGGGUGAAAGCUAAGUGCUGCUGAAGUGGGGCAUAAUUUGUAAUUGCAGAGAUGAAAAGAGCAUAUUACAAUUUUAAAUGCCCCAUGAUAGAUGCUUCUGACUUAUGAGCUUGGUAUUGAAUAUCUGGGAACAUACUAUGCCAUGAUUAAUUGCAACAUAUUCUGUAAAACCGUUACUUAAAGCUUUAUUCUUCUAUGGUUUUUGUAUAUAAAAAUUAUGAAAAAUACAUCUUGAGAGCUAUUUCUUCAGUAAAAUAAUUACACGGCACAGAGAAUCUACUUAUUUUUUUACCAGUUAUAGAGCACGUCUCCAUUCUGACUGAUCUUUGGUUUAAACUUUUAGAAGACAGUCUCAUAGAAAUAGCUUGAAUUUGAAACAUCUCAGGAUUUGGGGUAUUGAUUUUAGUGUGUUGAACAACAGAAUAUCUGUAUGCAUGGUAAAACUAUCUAAAACACAGGUUUGUUUAUGAUGGUUUGGAUCACACCACCGUACCAGAGGAUACACAGCAAAAGAUUAAUCCCUACCAAGGGAUGCACUCUGAAACUCAACAAGGUUUUUGCCUACUUUGGUUUGGGAGGAGAGGUGAGAGGCAUGCUUCCAUAUCUGUUUAAAUAAAGAUAAUAAAUAAAUCUGUUUGCUGAACUGCAAA
RNAcentral lists this long non-coding RNA (1137 nucleotides) under Strigops habroptila (Kakapo). RNAcentral's name for it is "lncRNA (ENSSHBG00005011116.1)". The record is from RNAcentral. Lineage: Eukaryota; Metazoa; Chordata; Aves; Psittaciformes; Psittacidae.